GAUGAACGCUGGCGGCGUGCCUAAUACAUGCAAGUCGCGCGAACAGAUGAGGAGCUUGCUCCUCUGACGUUAGCGGCGGACGGGUGAGUAACACGUGGAUAACCUACAUAUCAGCCUGGGAUAACUUCGGGAACCCGGUGCUACUACCGCAUAAUAUAUUGAACCGAAUGGUUAAAUCGUGCACGACGGUUUUGCUGUCCCUUAUAGAUGGAUCCGCGCCGCAUUAGCUAGUUGGUAAGGUAACGGCUUACCAAGGCGACGAUGCGUAGCCGACCUGAGAGGGUGGUCGGCCACACUGUAACUGAGACACGGUCCAGACACCUACGGGGGGCAGCAGUAGGGAAUCUUCCGCAAGGGGCGAGUGCCUGACAUAGCACCGCCGCGGGAGUGAUGAAGGUCUUCGGAUCGGAGAGCGCAGUUAGUAUGGAAAAACAAAUGUGUAAUUAGCUGUGCACAUCGUGACGGUACCUGAACAAAAAGCCACGGCUAACUACGUG
RNAcentral lists this ribosomal RNA (497 nucleotides) under uncultured bacterium. RNAcentral describes it as "partial 16S ribosomal RNA". It matches the Rfam family "Bacterial small subunit ribosomal RNA", at positions 28 to 507 of the family's 1533-position model. The record is from RNAcentral.